This 348-nucleotide long non-coding RNA is filed under the name Homo sapiens (human). RNAcentral describes it as "HSALNT0383951". The record is from RNAcentral. Lineage: Eukaryota; Metazoa; Chordata; Mammalia; Primates; Hominidae.
CCAUCCUGCCCAGGCGCCCACCAGACAGGCCACAGCCGCACGCCACAGGGCGACCCUCUGGUCGGGUAGAUGGCUCAGCAGCUCCACGUCCCCCUGGGCGGCACGGCGGAUGAAGGCCCGGCAGUCGGCUUCCCGCACCUGGCUCAGGCUACAGAAAAAAUUAGCCGAGCGUGGUGGCGGGCGCCUGUAGUUCCAGCUACUCAGGAAGCUGAGGCAGGAGAAUGGCAUGAACCUGGGAGGCAGAGUUUGCAGUAAGCCGAGAUCGCAGCACUGAACUCCAGCCUGGGCGACAGAGCGAGACUUUGUCUCAAAGAAAAAAAAAAAUAAAUAAAUAAAUAAAUAAAAGAG